This 89-nucleotide non-coding RNA is filed under the name unclassified sequences. The record is from Rfam.
AUACUGAAUCAUGGUGGGGAACAAUGUGAAAUUCAUUGACUGUUCCUGCAACGGUAAAAGUAAAAUUGAGUCCGAGUGCCACCCAGUAA